UACGUAUGGUGCAAGCGUUAUCCGGAUUUACUGGGCGUAAAGGGAGCGCAGGCGGCGCGCCAAGUCUGAUGUGAAACCCCGGGGCUCAACCCCGGGCAUGCAUUGGAAACUGGCGGGCUGGAGUGCCGGAGAGGUAAGCGGAAUUCCUAGUGUAGCGGUGAAAUGCGUAGAUAUUAGGAGGAACACCAGUGGCGAAGGCGGCUUACUGGACGGCAACUGACGUUGAGGCUCGAAAGCGUGGGGAGCAAACAGG
This 253-nucleotide ribosomal RNA is filed under the name uncultured bacterium. RNAcentral describes it as "partial 16S ribosomal RNA". It matches the Rfam family "Bacterial small subunit ribosomal RNA", at positions 524 to 776 of the family's 1533-position model. The record is from RNAcentral.